RNAcentral lists this long non-coding RNA (225 nucleotides) under Nicotiana benthamiana. RNAcentral describes it as "long non-coding RNA (NBEN_LNC025917)". Lineage: Eukaryota; Viridiplantae; Streptophyta; Magnoliopsida; Solanales; Solanaceae. The record is from RNAcentral.
UUGGCUAGAAAUGGUGAAAAAAGAAAAAUGAUAAAUAAAAAAAUUACACUUACCUGGGUUCGUUAAGGUCUGUUGUGGUUCUGCCGCAGUCGAGGUAGAACUGCGGUAGACUGUGGUCAGAGAGGGUAUUCCACCGCGAUUUAACCGCGUUCACGGUCAAACCAUGUUGGACUGUUGUCAGAGAGGUAUUCUGACUGUGAUUUCACCGCGGUCAUGGUAGGACUG